Molecule: RNA transcript, 4811 nt
Organism: Chroicocephalus ridibundus (black-headed gull)
Lineage: Eukaryota; Metazoa; Chordata; Aves; Charadriiformes; Laridae
Gene: RHOF
Gene name: ras homolog family member F, filopodia associated
Exons: 6
Source: RefSeq, a predicted model, not a curated record
UGGAAACUUAAAACUUUUACAGUAUUCAGAAUUCCUCCAAACAGAACAUAGGUAACCAGAACAUUUAAUCAAAAUCUGUUUGCAUAUUUACUAUUUAAAAUAGUAUUUUGUGAGCAGAAUGAUUUAUAAUUUUGCUUCUCUUCCCUCACUUGACUGUCUGUAGUCACAAAACUCAUGGGCUUUUAAUAGUACUAAAUCUCAGUUUCUUUGACUUCUUCAAGCACAUCACAAGGGACAGAGAGAGGCAGCACACGCACAUUGGUGUUGUUUCCUUAGGAGGUCAGGCUAAAGAUAUGCCUUGAGGUUCUUCUAUUGUACCAGAACUGUCCUGGAGGUUGCAAGCACUUUUUCCCAGGCUUAGUAUUUUGAGAAAUGGGAGUAUCAACUUAUUUCAUCACCCUGUAUUGUAAAAAAGUCAUAGCUUCAAUAUUAAACCUAAUCUGUGAGUCUUUUUUGGGUGUCCUCACAAAUAACCUGAAUUACCCAUCAAUACCAUCUGUCGUGGUUUAACCCCAGCCAGCAACUAGGACCAUGCAGCCACUCGCACGUUCCUCACCCCCCUCAAGUAGGGGUGGGAGAAGAGGGAGAAAAGGAGGGUAAAGGAAAAAACCUCAUGGGUUGAGAUAAAGGCAGCUUAACAGAAUGGUGAUGGAAGAGGGGAGAUAAUAAUAACGACGACGACAACAACAACAACAACAACAACAUACAAAAUAAGGUGAUAAAGCACAAGUUGCUCUCACCACCUGACAACUGGUUGCCCAGUCCAAGCAGUGAUCACAGAUCCCUGUCCCCUGGCCAACCCCCAUUUAUAUACUGAGUCUGUGGUAUGGAAUAUUCCUGUGGCCAUCUUGUCCUGUCUAUGCUCCCUCUCAGCUUCUAUGGGAAGCUGAAAAAAUCCUUGACUAAUAUAAACAUUACUUAGCAAUAACUAAAACAGUAUGUGUUAUCAACAUUCUUCUCAUAUUAAAUCCAAAACACAGUAGCUAUCCAAACACAGUAGCUACUAGAAAGAAAAUUAACUCUAUCCCAGCUGAAACCAGGACACCAUCUAAAGUGUUAAAGCAUCUUUUAAAAAUCAUAAAGUUCCAGCAGUUUUCCUAGGUAAUGUGCUAACCUUUCAUUCAUUCCUAUUAUUUUCCUUGGCAAUUGUGAAGUGACAAAUUGGUAAUAAGACUGGAACACAUUUACUAUACCCCAUUAAAGUCUUGAUUUUGGUACACUCACUGUAAAUCUCUGUAAAACGCAUAUUGACUCUUGAGCUGCAGACGCGUAAGCUUUUGAUGAAACAGAACUUGUGCCACAAUCAAUAUACAGGCCAAAACAGAAGUAAGAGAAGGACGCCUGCAAUUAAUAAUAAUUAGAUUUGAAUUUUACUAAUAGAAGGUUGAAUCUUCUUCCAUUUAAAUCAGUGGCAGAAUUCCAUAUUAGAUUUAACUUUUUCUGAGUCAGCAAAAUAUGCUUAGCUUUUGCAUGGGACUUUAUAUGCCUAAGGCACUGCAUACCCGUUAAUUAAAAAUAAGUAACUGAGACACCGAAAUGCUAUAUUUCAUCAAUACUAAGUUGACUCACUACAAAUAGAACAUCCGUUAUUUAAAAACAUUCUUUGGAGUGCUUACAGUUGAUUUUAUAAUCUACUCAUUUUAUAUUGUUUCAUCCCAAAUCUAAAGGUGUUCAAAUCUAAAAAGUUCCCUGAACUAUAAAAUGUAAAAGGAGACAAAGCUGUGAGAAAUGUAAAGAUUGUUUUGUAAGACUUGAAAAAAAAAAAAAAAAACAAAACAAAGAGCAAAACAACAUGAUAAUGACCCACAAAAAAACUUUUAUCCCAAAAAAAAAUUUUAUGGCAAUAAUUGACUUGAAAAAAAACCACAACUGAAUUACAGUAUUCAGUUACAGGAAGACUACUAAGUCUACCUGCUGAUCAUAUCAUACAUAGUGUGAUGCUGGCUUUGAGCCAGGUCCAAAUAAAUUGUUUCAGGGUAAAAAUUAUUUCCUGGACCAUUCAUUCCUGCGCGAUACUAGAAUGCCCCUCAGCCAUUACACUCGACAGAAGCUGACGGCUUUUACUUUGUUCCAGAUAAGGUGUAUAAGACUGCAGUUCAUAAAACAUCUUGUUGACAGCUUGUGUAUUCUACAUGCUUGCAUCAACUUUUCCCUCAGUAAAAUGCUUAGCUUUAAACAGGUGUGAAUUUGGCUGCUUUUUUAUGAUUAUUAUUUGAAUUAUAUGACACUUCAUUGGGUAUUUAUACGUCCCUCCUUCCUAUCACUGACAUAUCCUUUUCUUGCUUUUUGUUUGCCCUCUGCACAAAGCAGGGUCUUCCUUGAAAGUGAUGCAGGGUACAGUCGUGUUUGCGUUCGGUCUGGAAGGCCAUCUAGUGACACAACCGUGCAGCAGAAAAUGCAAAACCCUGUUUGAGUUGCUAUUUUUUUUUCCCCUUAGUUGAAUUAAAUCAUCUUGCUACACUCAAGCAUGCCCUCGGGGGUUUGUUGCUAUUCCCACAAGUGGCAUUUCAAAAAUUGUAGAGUAAUUUUUGAUUUCUUAAGAACUGACAGGGUUUAUUUAAGACGUAGCGCGCUGUUAAUCCCUGCUAAGAAAGAAACACCAUUUUUUUGUGCAGAAUGGUGGCAGAUUGCGACCCAAGCAGGUCUGUCACGAACUCAGCAUCACUCCCUGACCUGUGCAUCAUGGCCAAACGUAUCUGUCUGGUGUGAUCCCCGUGGAAUGAUCCCCUGACUUCCAUGGUACGAAACAACACCAGGCAGGUGCCUGGGGCCAUCGCAUCUUCACCACUAAAAUGUAAAAAUCCAGUUUAUUUUUAUCGCAGCUCACCUUGGAUGGGUGGCACUGGGUGAAUAAGCAAUAAGCAGAGCAGUCAGUUCCUACUCGAGCGGUAAGUACAGUAGAAAACAAGCAGCGAGUCACCGCCAUUCCCAGUACCAGCAACAAGAUGCAUUCAGGGAGGCACCUCAGGGGGGUCUCUGCCUCCCCCUGCCAUGGCUGGCCCUGCACUCGCUGCAUGCUCUUCCCUCACCCGUUGGGACUGGAAUCCGCUGCUGCAGGCAUUGAGGUUGAACUGGAAGACAUCCCCUCAGCUGCUGGCGACGUGAGGUAAACCAACAUGGCGCUCAAACUGGAAGACAUCCCCUUAGCCGCUGGCGACAUGAGGUAAACCAACAUGGCGCUCAAACUGGAAGACAUCCCCUUAGCCGCUGGCGACGUGAGGUAAACCAACAUGGUGCUUGAACUGGAAGACAUCCCCUCAGCCGCUGGCAACGUGAGGUAAGCCAACAUGGCGCUCCAACUGGAAGACAUUCCCCCGGCUACUGGCAACGUGAGGUAAACCAACAUGACGCUCAAGGUCCAAAGGGGCUCCCUGGGGGAAUAAAUGAGGAUGUCGGUGCCACAGUUGCUGGAUGGGGAUGAGCACCCAAGUGCAGGUAAAUGGUGGGUGGACUGGAAGUGCCAACAGGGCCCAAUGGCCCCGGGCAGAUGGAGGCCUUGGAAGCUCACCAGGAGGAUCGGGGUUUGGGAAGAGAAGCCUGACGGAGAGCUGAGGGGGCUCCCACGGCGCUCAGCGGGCUCGGGACCACCCCCGCGCCGGGCAGCCCUUGAGGAGCGGACGCCGCGGGCGCUCCGGGUCGCCGAGGGGGGCUCGCCACGCCGGGCUCCACCACCCCAGGGAUUCCGCGGCUUGAGCCCGCGGCGCGGCCCCGGGCGGGGCCCGGAGGCACCUGAGGCGCCGGCCCCCGCUGCGCGGCCAAUCCCCGGCGGGGCGCGGGCGGUGCCUGCCCGCCUCGGGGCGCCUGGAGCCCGGCGGCGGCGGUUUGGGGGGGAGUCGCGUCGUGCCCGUCCCGGCCCCGCUCCAUCAUGGAGGCGGCCAACGGGGCCCUGCCCGAGGGUGCGGCGGGGGGCUCCCGCGGCGGCGCGGCCGCCCCCUCGGGCAAGAAGGAGGUGAAGGUCGUGAUCGUGGGGGACGGCGGCUGCGGGAAGACGUCGCUGCUGAUGGUGUACGCCAAGGGCGCCUUCCCCGAGCAGUACGCGCCUUCCGUCUUCGAGAAGUACACGACCAGCGUUACGGUGGGGAAAAAGGAGGUCACCCUGAAUUUGUACGAUACCGCAGGGCAGGAGGACUACGAUCGGCUACGACCGCUUUCUUACCAGAACACAAACGUCGUGUUAAUUUGUUACGAUGUCAUGAACCCCACUAGCUAUGAUAAUGUAGCAGCUAAGUGGUAUCCUGAAGUGAAUCACUUCUGCCGAGGUGUCCCGCUCGUACUGAUCGGCUGCAAGACAGACCUUCGGAAAGACAAAGAACAGUUGCGCAAGCUCAGGGCUUCUAAGCAGGAACCCAUUACUUACAACCAGUCUUUUACAGCUGAUGGCAUCUUGAGUCACGCGACAUGAUGCUUGUGAUGCCAGGCACAGAGAAGCUGAACAGUAUCUGCCAGCGCUGCGGCUUGCAAACAACUGAAAGGAGACAAACUUCACUUAAAUGUGCUGAAGAAAAACCCCCCUAUAGAGGCCUGAGUGCUCAAGUGACCCCACUCCCAGGGCUUGUAAUGAAUAAACGCAGAGUUUGUGAGCUGUGGGCUGCAGACCUGGAAUUCACGCUCUAAGGCUCACAAGCAUUCAAACCUGGGGGCUGACUCUGCCAUGACAAUAAAAGGAUCACAAGCAAAGGUGAAGCAGCUUGUCAGCAGAUUAAUGCAGAAGUUUAUCUGGAGUGCUCAGCAAAAUGUCGCGAAAACAUAGAAAAUGUUUUUAAAGAAGCAACAACCAUUGCACUAAAUGCCAUGAAAAAAGCCAAGCGCCA